Molecule: transfer RNA, 74 nt
Filed under: Prevotellaceae bacterium
Lineage: Bacteria; Pseudomonadati; Bacteroidota; Bacteroidia; Bacteroidales; Prevotellaceae
Description: tRNA-Arg
Rfam family: tRNA
About the family: Transfer RNA (tRNA) molecules are approximately 80 nucleotides in length. Their secondary structure includes four short double-helical elements and three loops (D, anti-codon, and T loops).
Source: RNAcentral
GGCCCGGUAGCUCAGCUGGAUAGAGCAACAGAUUUCUAAUCUGUCGGUCGUGGGUUCGAAUCCCGCCCGGGUCA